CCUAAGAUGGACAAAACUACCAUCGGCACAAAGUAACAUUCAUGAUCAUUUUUCUUACAAGAUAUAAGUCACUCAACAGACUGGGAAAAAUCAGAUGGUGUGCUGCAAGCAGCAGUUGAAGCUGGUUCUUUGUACCACUGAUUUGCUUCACGAGUUAAGAAAUUAGCUUCUGACAAGAAAACAUCCUUAUAGUCAUCAUCAUCAUAUAUAAAUUGUGGAGGAUCUGGCGAACCAAUCCCAACAAUGGUACUUCCGCU
This 257-nucleotide unclassified non-coding RNA is filed under the name Hevea brasiliensis (rubber tree). Lineage: Eukaryota; Viridiplantae; Streptophyta; Magnoliopsida; Malpighiales; Euphorbiaceae. The record is from RNAcentral.